UCGCCUGUUUAUCAAAAACAUGUCUGGAGAAAAUCUCCAGUCGAUCUGCCCAGUGUCCAAUCAACGGCCGCAGUACUUUGACUGUGCUAAGGUAGCAUAAUCACUAGGUCUCUAAUUAAGGCCUCGAAUGAAAGACUUGACGAGAAAUUAACUGUCUCUUUUAUGCUAUGAAAUUACCUGGAGAGUCAAAAGUCUCUUCCUCCUCAAUGGGACGACAAGACCCUAUAAAACUUUACCUUUACACUAACUUUAAAAUAAGAUCAAUUCCUCAUUAGAUUAAAGGUUCAGCUGGGGCGGCUAUGUUUACUCCCAACAAACAUUAAUAAAACGCUUUGAGCGACUUUAAAGAACGUAUUCAACGCAGACCAAGUUACUUUAGGGAUAACAGCAUUAUACCUUUUCAGAGUCCUUAUCGUUAAAGGUGCGUAUGACCUCGAUGUUGAAUUGGAUCCUCUCUGUGAAGCAAUAUUUACAGCAGAAAGUCUGUUCGACUUUUAAAGUUCCACAUGAUCUGAGUUCCAAACCGGA
This 528-nucleotide ribosomal RNA is filed under the name Dynamenoides vulcanata. Its description in RNAcentral is "partial 16S ribosomal RNA". It matches the Rfam family "Bacterial large subunit ribosomal RNA", at positions 1796 to 2621 of the family's 2925-position model. The record is from RNAcentral. Lineage: Eukaryota; Metazoa; Arthropoda; Malacostraca; Isopoda; Sphaeromatidae.